This 382-nucleotide ribosomal RNA is filed under the name uncultured delta proteobacterium. RNAcentral's name for it is "bacterial SSU rRNA". It matches the Rfam family "Bacterial small subunit ribosomal RNA", at positions 9 to 374 of the family's 1533-position model. The record is from RNAcentral. Lineage: Bacteria; Deltaproteobacteria.
GAGUUUGAUCGUGGCUCAGAACGGACGUUAGCGGCGCGCCUAAUACAUGCAAGUCGUGCGAGAAAGGGCUUCCGGCCCCAGUAAAGCGGCGCACGGGUGAGCAACACGUAGGUAAUCUCCCCUCGAGUGGUGGAUAACUCUACCGAAAGGAGAGCUAAUACAGCAUGAGACCACGACCUCGCUGAGGUUGCGGACCAAAGCAGGCCACUACAUGUAAGCUUGCGCUUGAGGAUGAGCCUGCGGCCCAUCAGCUAGUUGGUAGGGUAAUGGCCUACCAAGGCUUAGACGGGUAGCUGGUCUGAGAGGAUGAACAGCCACACUGGAACUGAGACACGGUCCAGACUCCGUACGGGAGGCAGCAGUAGGGAAUCUUGCGCAAUGG